This 1339-nucleotide long non-coding RNA is filed under the name Chrysemys picta bellii (western painted turtle). RNAcentral's name for it is "lncRNA (ENSCPBG00000002005.1)". The record is from RNAcentral. Lineage: Eukaryota; Metazoa; Chordata; Testudines; Emydidae.
GAGUGGGCGGAAAGAAGGUUAUCGCUUGGAGGGACACUGGGGCACAAGUGUCGACUAUCCACCAAUCCCUAGUGGACCCCAAACUCAUCAACCCGGAUGCUCUGGUGACAAUUCAACCCUUCACGUCACAGUCUGUAACCUUGCCUACAGCCAAGUUGCAUGUCCAGUACAAGGGCUGGUCAGGAAUGUGGACUUUUGCAGUCUAUGACAAUUAUCCCAUCCGCAUGCUUCUGGGGGAAGACUUGGCCAACCAUGUGAAGCUAGCCAAGAGGGUGGGAAUAGUCACCCGCAGCCAGGCUAAGCAAGCUUUCACCCCCAUCCCUGAUCCUGAGCCGUCCACCAGGGCCCCGUCUGUGUUACCAGAGACCCAGACAAAGGUGGUGGAACCGGAUCCUCUGCCAACGACUGCAACAGCCGUAGUGUAUCCAAUCCCAGAGACCCAGCCAAAGCCAGUCCCAGAACCGGAACUGGCAACACAACCAGCGCCAGAACCAUUGCCAGCACUGAGUACAGCAUUUGUAAACCCAUCUAUAACUCCAACGCCAGAGGGCACCAGUGAGCCUGAACUGGCAGAAGCAGCAGAUAACCCUACCCAAGAGGCUCAGCCGGAACCUGAAAUACAACAGCGGACAGCGGUUCAGUCAACGGAAACAGCCCCAGCACCUGCAUCGCUUCCAGAGGGACCAAGCCCAAGUCCACAGUCCAAGGAGGAACUGAUGUCUCCAGCAUCAAGGGAACAGUUCCAGGCCGAGCAGGAAGCAGAGGACAGCCUUCAGAAAGCUUGGGCAGCGGCACAGAGCACCCCGCCGCCUCUCAGCUCUUCUAACCGAUCCCGGUUUGUGGUAGAACAAGGACUUUUAUACAAGGAGACUCUUUCUGGUGGGCACCAGGAAGACUGGUAUCCUCAAAGACAGUUGGUAGUUCCCACUAAGUAUCGGGUAAAGCUCUUGAGCUUAGCCCAUGAUCAUCCCAGUGGCCAUUCUGGGGUGAACAGAACCAAAGACCGGUUGGGGAAGUCCUUCCACUGGGAGGGAAUGGGCAAGGAUGUUGUGAGGUGUGCCAACGAGUGGGAAAGCCCCAAGACCAGGUCAAAGACCCUCUCCAGCCACUACCCAUAAUUGAGGUCCCAUUUCAGCGAGUAGCUGUGGAUAUUCUGGGUCCUUUCCCAAAGAAGACACUCAGAGGAAAGCAGUACAUACUGACUUUCAUGGAUUUUGCUACCCAAUGGCCAGAAGCAGUACCCUUAAGCAACACCAGGGCUAAAAGUGUAUGCCAGGCAUUAGCAGACAUUUUUGCCAGGGUAGGUUGGCCCUCCGACAUCUUUACAGAUUUGGGAACU